Molecule: ribosomal RNA, 464 nt
Filed under: uncultured bacterium
Lineage: Bacteria
Description: partial 16S ribosomal RNA
Rfam family: Bacterial small subunit ribosomal RNA
Source: RNAcentral
GACGAACGCUGGCGGCGUGCUUAACACAUGCAAGUCGAACGAUUAAGCCAGCUUGCUGGUGGAUUAGUGGCGAACGGGUGAGUAACACGUGGGUGAUCUGCCCCAAACUUUGGGAUAAGCCUGGGAAACUGGGUCUAAUACCGAAUAUGACCGAUACUCGCAUGGGUGUUGGUGGAAAGCUCCGGCGGUUUGGGAUGGGCCCGCGGCCUAUCAGCUUGUUGGUGGGGUAAUGGCCUACCAAGGCGACGACGGGUAGCCGGCCUGAGAGGGCGACCGGCCACACUGGGACUGAGACACGGCCCAGACUCCUAUGGGAGGCAGCAGUGGGGAAUAUUGCACAAUGGGCGCAAGCCUGAUGCAGCGACGCCGCGUGAGGGAUGACGGCCUUCGGGUUGUAAACCUCUUUCACCAGGGACGAAGCGAAAGUGACGGUACCUGGAGAAGAAGCACCGGCCAACUACGUG